Molecule: ribosomal RNA, 301 nt
Filed under: uncultured bacterium
Lineage: Bacteria
Description: partial 16S ribosomal RNA
Rfam family: Bacterial small subunit ribosomal RNA
Source: RNAcentral
CAGCAGCCGCGGGAAUACAGAGGGUGCGAGCGUUAAUAGGAUUUACUGGGCGUAAAGCGUGCGUAGGCGGCUUCUUAAGUCGGAUGUGAAAUCCCUGAGCUUAACUUAGGAAUUGCAUUCGAUACUGGGAAGCUAGAGUAUGGGAGAGGAUGGUAGAAUUCCAGGUGUAGCGGUGAAAUGCGUAGAGAUCUGGAGGAAUACCGAUGGCGAAGGCAGCCAUCUGGCCUAAUACUGACGCUGAGGUACGAAAGCAUGGGGAGCAAACAGGAUUAGAUACCCGCGUAGUCCCUGUCUCUUAUAC